This 606-nucleotide non-coding RNA is filed under the name Fomitiporia mediterranea MF3/22. Its description in RNAcentral is "Eukaryotic large subunit ribosomal RNA". It matches the Rfam family "Eukaryotic large subunit ribosomal RNA", at positions 670 to 1432 of the family's 3401-position model. Lineage: Eukaryota; Fungi; Basidiomycota; Agaricomycetes; Hymenochaetales; Hymenochaetaceae. The record is from Rfam by way of RNAcentral.
GGAGUUAAACAUGCUUGCAAGUGUUCAGAUAGAAAGUACUUGUGUGUAAUGAAAGUAAAAUUUGAGAACCUUCAAGUUUGUGAAAGAUAGUGAACUAUGUCUGAGUAGAGUAAAGCUAGAGGAAACUCUAGUAUGUAGAGGCUUGUAGUGAUUCUGACAUACAAAUCAAUUGUCAAACUUGAGUAUAAGAGGAAAAGACUAAUUAAACCAUCUAGUAGCUCAUAAUAGCAGAAACUUGUAUCAGAUUUAUGUAGAACAGACUGUCUCUUGACUGGACUGCUUAACAAUUGAGAGUUUCUAGUGGGCCAUUUUUGGUAAGCAGAACUGGCAAUACAGGAUGAACUGAACACAAGAUUAAUGUACUAGAAUGUAUGCUUAUCAGACACUACAAAAGGUGUUGGUUCUUCUAGACAGUAGGACAGUAGUCAUAGAAUUCAGAAUCCACUAAGAAGUGUGUAACAACUCACAUUUCAAAUGAACUAGCCCUAAAAAUGGAUGGUGCUCAAGUGUGCUAUCCAUACCUUGCCAUCUGUGUCGAAGUGACAUACAGACAAGCAGGCAGAUGUGGAGGUUGGUACACCGGGCCAUGACGUUCUCUGACAGUGC